This 610-nucleotide ribosomal RNA is filed under the name Limnobacter sp. Its description in RNAcentral is "bacterial SSU rRNA". It matches the Rfam family "Bacterial small subunit ribosomal RNA", at positions 35 to 644 of the family's 1533-position model. The record is from RNAcentral. Lineage: Bacteria; Pseudomonadati; Pseudomonadota; Betaproteobacteria; Burkholderiales; Burkholderiaceae.
GCUGGCGCAGCUUACCAUGCAAGUCGAACGGUAACAGGGAGCUUGCUCCGCUGACGAGUGGCGAACGGGUGAGUAAUACAUCGGAACGUGCCCAGUAAUGGGGGAUAGCUCGGCGAAAGCCGGAUUAAUACCGCAUACGCCCUGAGGGGGAAAGUGGGGGACCGCAAGGCCUCACGUUAUUGGAGCGGCCGAUGGCUGAUUAGCUAGUUGGUAGGGUAAAGGCCUACCAAGGCGACGAUCAGUAGCUGGUCUGAGAGGACGAUCAGCCACACUGGGACUGAGACACGGCCCAGACUCCUACGGGAGGCAGCAGUGGGGAAUUUUGGACAAUGGGGGAAACCCUGAUCCAGCAAUGCCGCGUGUGCGAAGAAGGCCUUCGGGUUGUAAAGCACUUUUGUCAGGGAAGAAAUCCUUUGGGCUAAUACCCUAGGGGGAUGACGGUACCUGAAGAAUAAGCACCGGCUAACUACGUGCCAGCAGCCGCGGUAAUACGUAGGGUGCAAGCGUUAAUCGGAAUUACUGGGCGUAAAGCGUGCGCAGGCGGUUGUGUAAGACAGGUGUGAAAUCCCCGGGCUUAACCUGGGAAUUGCAUUUGUGACUGCACGACUAG